UAACUGGAUUGUGGCGACCAAGCAUUCAGACUGUAGCAACAUUGCUCUCUGAUCCUUUGAUUUCGGCUCUUUACAUCAUCGAGAAGCAGAAUGCACUGAACAUUAAAUUGUUCACCCACUGACAGGGGACGAGAGCAGGGUUAGGCAGUCCCGAGGCAGGUU
This 162-nucleotide non-coding RNA is filed under the name Lepisosteus oculatus (spotted gar). RNAcentral describes it as "Eukaryotic large subunit ribosomal RNA". It matches the Rfam family "Eukaryotic large subunit ribosomal RNA", at positions 2827 to 2984 of the family's 3401-position model. The record is from Rfam by way of RNAcentral. Lineage: Eukaryota; Metazoa; Chordata; Actinopteri; Semionotiformes; Lepisosteidae.